RNAcentral lists this ribosomal RNA (207 nucleotides) under uncultured bacterium. RNAcentral's name for it is "partial 16S ribosomal RNA". It matches the Rfam family "Bacterial small subunit ribosomal RNA", at positions 568 to 774 of the family's 1533-position model. The record is from RNAcentral.
UGCGUAGGCGGUUAUAUUAGUCGGGUGUUAAAUCCUGGGGCUCAACCUCAGGCUCGCAUUCGAAACGGUAUAACUAGAAGAAGUCAGAGGUAAGCAGAACUCUCGGUGUAGGGGUGAAAUCCGUUGAUAUCGAGGGGAAUACCAAAUGCGAAGGCAGCUUACUGGGACUUUCUUGACGCUGAGGCACGAAAGCGUGGGUAGCGAACG